This is a small nuclear RNA of Coffea arabica (coffee), 161 nucleotides long. RefSeq annotates it as U1 spliceosomal RNA. The record is from RefSeq and is a predicted model, not a curated record. NCBI's taxonomy places the organism in Eukaryota, Viridiplantae, Streptophyta, Magnoliopsida, Gentianales, Rubiaceae.
AUAAUUACCUGCACGGUGUUGAUGGGCGAUCAAGAAGGUUCAUGGCUUAGGUAGGUAUCAUCCAUUGCACUUUGGAGGGGUGCCUCCCUAUGGCCUCCCCAUGUGGGAGAGCCAACGUUGUAAUUUGCUGCAGCGGAGGCCUGCGUUCACGGAGCCCUGCC